AGAGUUUGAUCCUGGCUCAGAUUGAACGCUGGCGGCAUGCCUUACACAUGCAAGUCGAACGGCAGCAUGAUCUAGCUUGCUAGAUUGAUGGCGAGUGGCGAACGGGUGAGUAAUACAUCGGAACGUGCCCUGUAGUGGGGGAUAACUAGUCGAAAGAUUAGCUAAUACCGCAUACGACCUGAGGGUGAAAGUGGGGGACCGCAAGGCCUCAUGCUAUAGGAGCGGCCGAUGUCUGAUUAGCUAGUUGGUGAGGUAAAGGCUCACCAAGGCGACGAUCAGUAGCUGGUCUGAGAGGACGAUCAGCCACACUGGGACUGAGACACGGCCCAGACUCCUACAGGAGGCAGCAGUGGGGAAUUUUGGACAAUGGGGGCAACCCUGAUCCAGCAAUGCCGCGUGUGUGAAGAAGGCCUUCGGGUUGUAAAGCACUUUUGUCCGGAAAGAAAUCGCACUUACUAAUAUUAGGUGUGGAUGACGGUACCGGAAGAAUAAGGACCGGCUAACUACGUGCCAGCAGCCGCGGUAAUACGUAGGGUCCAAGCGUUAAUCGGAAUUACUGGGCGUAAAGCGUGCGCAGGCGGUUGUGCAAGACCGAUGUGAAAUCCCCGGGCUUAACCUGGGAAUUGCAUUGGUGACUGCACGGCUAGAGUGUGUCAGAGGGGGGUAGAAUUCCACGUGUAGCAGUGAAAUGCGUAGAGAUGUGGAGGAAUACCGAUGGCGAAGGCAGCCCCCUGGGAUAACACUGACGCUCAUGCACGAAAGCGUGGGGAGCAAACAGGAUUAGAUACCCCCGUAGUCC
Molecule: ribosomal RNA, 799 nt
Filed under: uncultured Ralstonia sp.
Lineage: Bacteria; Pseudomonadati; Pseudomonadota; Betaproteobacteria; Burkholderiales; Burkholderiaceae
Description: bacterial SSU rRNA
Rfam family: Bacterial small subunit ribosomal RNA
Source: RNAcentral